UUGAGAGAGAAACUAUCUCUGGAGCUAAAGAGGAAAGGAGAGAGAAGUGUGGCAGAAUCUGUCAGAAAAUCAAUUCCCAAGGCAUUAGCCUAUGAAGAUCCUUUGGCUGUGGUGAGGAUUUAUUCUUCAAUCAUCUGCUAGUCAUGGAUUAAGGAACUGUCUUCAACUUGGAGGAGUUAUCAUCUGUGGACAUUUCACCUUGGAUUCCUGUUUUGGCUCCCAGAGACUCUAUUGGAGCCACAGCAAACACACACAUCCAGACUUGGGACUUCCCGGGAGAGCUCCCCACGAUGCCUGAGAAGCUCAAGGGCAGCCAGCCGGCAGAGAAAACUUGUAAAAUGAACAGCUGGCCACAUGUUAUUGAUUGUGUCACUUUCUUGAGAGAAAACCACUACAGCUUCAAAUUGUAUGUGGAAGGGUCUUUUGAAAAGUACCUGGAAAGGUUGGGACAUUCACAGGAAAGUGCUGGACAGCUGGAAUUAAGAACAUUUAUAAGGGCCAUCUUGAUUGCCAUAUAUACCAUCAUCCACCAUGCAGAAGGCUAGAAGGAGACCCUGGGACCCAAACUUCUGCCCAAGGUCUUACUUGAUCUUCUUGGAAAUUGCUCUGAAAAUGAGAUUAAGUUCAAUUCAACAAGUAUCAGAUGCCUACUAUGUACAAGAAACUGAGUGCUGAGCAAAGGCAGAUAACAAUAAAACGCUCCCUGCUCUAAAGAUUUGAUGUACAUUGGAUGAUGCAUGGUCCCAAAGCUUCUAAAGUUCAAGCUAUAUUUGCAGCUGAAUGGGACAGUAAAUGUCAAGAUCAAUCCUUUCAUUUAUACAUGAGGAAGGCUCAGAAAAAUUAAAUGACUUCCUCCUCAAACCAGUAAGUAGCAAAGCAAAUAUUUGAAUAUAGCAACUGAAAUGACUGAAAAGCAACAACUCUCACUCAAACCAGGGGAACUUUCAACUCUACUUGUCUUCUACACAUUGACUUUUGUAAGGAACAUUCUUUACAAUCUUUAUACACUCUGCCAAUAAUUUUUGUAUUUGUAUAUUGUCAAUAAACAAAGCACUGAGUAUUUA
This is a long non-coding RNA of Monodelphis domestica (gray short-tailed opossum), 1064 nucleotides long. RefSeq lists it as uncharacterized. The record is from RefSeq and is a predicted model, not a curated record. Lineage: Eukaryota; Metazoa; Chordata; Mammalia; Didelphimorphia; Didelphidae.